CUACGUGCCAGCAGCCGCGGUAAUACGUAGGUCCCGAGCGUUGUCCGGAAUUAUUGGGCGUAAAGCGCGCGCAGGCGGAUCAGUCAGUCUGUCUUAAAAGUUCGGGGCUUAACCCCGUGAUGGGAUGGAAACUGCUGAUCUAGAGUAUCGGAGAGGAAAGUGGAAUUCCUAGUGUAGCGGUGAAAUGCGUAGAUAUUAGGAAGAACACCAGUGGCGAAGGCGACUCUCUGGUCUGUAACUGACGCUGAGGCUCGAAAGCGUGGGUAGCAAACAGGAUUAGAUACCCUGGUAGUCCACGCCGUAAACGAUGAGUGCUAAGUGUUGGAGGGUUUCCGCCCUUCAGUGCUGCAGUUAACGCAUUAAGCACUCCGCCUGGGGAGUACGACCGCAAGGUUGAAACUCAAAGGAAUUGACGGGGACCCGCACAAGCGGUGGAUGAUGUGGAUUAAUUCGAUGCAACGCGAAGAACCUUACCUGGUCUUGACAU
This 487-nucleotide ribosomal RNA is filed under the name uncultured bacterium. RNAcentral describes it as "bacterial SSU rRNA". It matches the Rfam family "Bacterial small subunit ribosomal RNA", at positions 501 to 987 of the family's 1533-position model. The record is from RNAcentral.